GCCAGGUGCAGUGGUGCAUGCCUGUAAUCCCAGCGGCUUGGGAGGCUGAGGCAGGAGGAUGGUGAGGUCAAAACCAGCCUCAG
This 83-nucleotide small RNA is filed under the name Marmota monax (woodchuck). The record is from RNAcentral. Lineage: Eukaryota; Metazoa; Chordata; Mammalia; Rodentia; Sciuridae.